Molecule: long non-coding RNA, 326 nt
Filed under: Nicotiana benthamiana
Lineage: Eukaryota; Viridiplantae; Streptophyta; Magnoliopsida; Solanales; Solanaceae
Description: long non-coding RNA (NBEN_LNC007380)
Source: RNAcentral
UUUGCAAGACAAUGGACAAAUGGUUCUUACUUCAAUGGGUAGAGAAAGAACUUGUCUUGUUAAAGAAUGGGAACCAUAACCCCACUUUGUAACUCUAGGAGUUACAUAACCCAAGAGACAAGAGUUACAAGACAAGAGUUAUGUCUUGAGUUAUGUCUUGCAAGAGUUACAUAACUCUAGAGUCACAAGCAUGUAACCAUGGUUACAUAUAUGUAACCUUAGUUAGCCCAUCAUUACUAAGGUUACCAUUUUGGGUAUCUACACAUUAGUCCUACACUUGAUAUGACAAUACAUUGGCCCCCUUAACAUAAUGUCUAUAAGACCAC